GAGGGUAUAGUUCAGUGGUAGAGCGCCUGCUUAUUAGCAUGCAUAGGCCCUGAGUUCAAUCCCCAGUAUCUCCA
RNAcentral lists this transfer RNA (74 nucleotides) under Camelus bactrianus (Bactrian camel). It matches the Rfam family "tRNA". From Rfam's summary of the family: Transfer RNA (tRNA) molecules are approximately 80 nucleotides in length. Their secondary structure includes four short double-helical elements and three loops (D, anti-codon, and T loops). Further hydrogen bonds mediate the characteristic L-shaped molecular structure. tRNAs have two regions of fundamental functional importance: the anti-codon, which is responsible for specific mRNA codon recognition, and the 3' end, to which the tRNAs corresponding amino acid is attached (by aminoacyl-tRNA synthetases). tRNAs cope with the degeneracy of the genetic code in two manners: having more than one tRNA (with a specific anti-codon) for a particular amino acid; and 'wobble' base-pairing, i.e. permitting non-standard base-pairing at the 3rd anti-codon position. RNAcentral also lists the same sequence under 2 other names. The record is from Rfam by way of RNAcentral. Lineage: Eukaryota; Metazoa; Chordata; Mammalia; Artiodactyla; Camelidae.